UAAGACGAAGGUGGCAAGCGUUGUUCGGAAUCACUGGGCUUAAAGAGCGCGUAGGCGGAACAGUAAGCGUCCUGUGAAAUCCCCCGGCUUAACCGGGGAACGGCUGGGCGAACUGCUGUUCUUGAGGCAAGCAGGGGUGCGUGGAACUCUUGGUGGAGCGGUGAAAUGCGUAGAUAUCAAGAGGAACGCCGGUGGAGAAAUCGGCGCACUGGGCUUGUUUCCGGCCAGAAAGCCGGCGGGCCCCGACGCUGAGGCGCGAAAGCGUGGGGAGCGAACGGGAUUAGAUACCCCGGUAGUCCACGCCGUAAACGAUGCCUACUAGGUUGCGGGAGCUUCUGACGUUCUCGCGGCCGAAGCAAAAGUGUUAAGUAGGCCGCCUGGGGAGUACGGUCGCAAGGCUA
This 401-nucleotide ribosomal RNA is filed under the name uncultured bacterium. RNAcentral's name for it is "bacterial SSU rRNA". It matches the Rfam family "Bacterial small subunit ribosomal RNA", at positions 521 to 896 of the family's 1533-position model. The record is from RNAcentral.